Molecule: long non-coding RNA, 221 nt
Filed under: Cricetulus griseus (Chinese hamster)
Lineage: Eukaryota; Metazoa; Chordata; Mammalia; Rodentia; Cricetidae
Description: lncRNA (ENSCGRG00000024707.1)
Source: RNAcentral
CCCAAACCAGAACCACAUUGCCUUGAUGACUACAAAAGCAUUUCUCAUCAUAUUCAGAAAUGGAGUGGAGACUUGGGAUGUGUGACUGGCUUCCUUCCCACAAAGCCCAUGCGGAAGAAAACGGUUCCAAAACACAGGAAAAUCAAUGCUGUAUGAAUUCUGAGCAAGAGGCUGGCAACUUUCAGAUUUCUGCAAAUGUGCUUGACGGUGGACAUACAUAA